Molecule: ribosomal RNA, 253 nt
Filed under: uncultured bacterium
Lineage: Bacteria
Description: partial 16S ribosomal RNA
Rfam family: Bacterial small subunit ribosomal RNA
Source: RNAcentral
UACGGGGGGGGCAAGCGUUGUUCGGAAUUACUGGGCGUAAAGGGUUCGUAGGCGGCCAACUAAGUCAGACGUGAAAUCCCUCGGCUUAACCGGGGAACUGCAUCUGAUACUGGAUGGCUUGAGUUCGGGAGAGGGAUGCGGAAUUCCAGGUGUAGCGGUGAAAUGCGUAGAUAUCUGGAGGAACACCGGUGGCGAAGGCGGCAUCCUGGACCGACACUGACGCUGAGGAGCGAAAGCCAGGGGAGCAAACGGG